UCUCCGUUGGUGAACCAGCGGAGGGAUCAUUAUAGAGUUUUAUAACUCCCAACCCUUUGUGAACUUACCUUUGUUGCCUCGGCGGGGCCUACCCGGUACCGACCCCUUUUGGGCGAAGUUACCCUGUAGCCCGCCGGUGGACUACCAAACUCUUGUUUUAAUAUGGUUAUUCUGAGUUAUUACUAUAAUAAGUUAAAACUUUCAACAACGGAUCUCUUGGUUCUGGCAUCGAUGAAGAACGCAGC
RNAcentral lists this unclassified non-coding RNA (245 nucleotides) under uncultured fungus. RNAcentral describes it as "sequence contains ITS1, 5.8S rRNA gene". The stretch from base 197 to 245 matches the Rfam family "5.8S ribosomal RNA", at positions 1 to 49 of the family's 154-position model. Lineage: Eukaryota; Fungi. The record is from RNAcentral.